CGUGCCUACGGGACGCAGCAGUGGGGGAUAUUGCACAAUGGGGGGAACCCUGAUGCAGCGACGCCGCGUGGGUGAAGAAGCGCCUCGGCGCGUAAAGCCCUGUCAGCAGGGAAGAAGAUGACGGUACCUGAAAAAGAAGCCCCGGCUAACUACGUGCCAGCAGCCGCGGUAAUACGUAGGGGGCAAGCGUUAUCCGGAUUUACUGGGUGUAAAGGGAGCGUAGACGGAAAGGCAAGUCAGAAGUGAAAACCCAAGGCUCAACC
RNAcentral lists this ribosomal RNA (263 nucleotides) under uncultured bacterium. RNAcentral's name for it is "partial 16S ribosomal RNA". It matches the Rfam family "Bacterial small subunit ribosomal RNA", at positions 335 to 614 of the family's 1533-position model. The record is from RNAcentral.